RNAcentral lists this long non-coding RNA (425 nucleotides) under Equus caballus (horse). Its description in RNAcentral is "lncRNA (ENSECAG00000045805.1)". The record is from RNAcentral. Lineage: Eukaryota; Metazoa; Chordata; Mammalia; Perissodactyla; Equidae.
GGGGGCUCUCUUGGUUAUGAGUGACAGAAACCCAAGUGGAAUUCGCUGAGGCCAAAAUGGGGAUUUCCUGGAGGAAGUCUGGAGAGACUCCCUUAACGGAAGGAAGAGCUGAACAUCCAAACCUCCGGAGGGCUGGGGAGUGUCGGAGUGAUCUUACUGGGCCUGUGGCUUUCAGUUCCAUCUAGAUGCUAAGGAAUCCCCGAAGGGGAGCACUGCUGUUUCUACUGCAUAGCCUCUGAGAACCCUGCAUUCGUUAAGCUCCACCAUCCUCAGUGUGUUGAUGGCUUCCUUCUGGUGAUCUAAGAGCUGCUCCAGAUCUCUAGCUUCUCAAUUUGGCCAGCUGGGAGGUGGGAACUGGAAGGAGAGGAGGAAGCUGUGCCCCAUCACCGAGAAGGCCGCUGCAAAUAUGUACUGAUGGAUUCAGA